UAAUCGAGCUUGAUUCGGGCUCGGCCCGAUCCUCCCACCCUUUGUGUACCUACCUCUGUUGCUUUGGCGGGCCGCGGUCCUCCGCGGCCGCCCCCCUCCCCGGGGGGGUGGCCAGCGCCCGCCAGAGGACCAUCAAACUCCAGUCAGUAAACGAUGCAGUCUGAAAAACAUUUAAUAAACUAAAACUUUCAACAACGGAUCUCUUGGUUCUGGCAUCGAUGAAGAACGCAGCGAAAUGCGAUAAGUAAUGUGAAUUGCAGAAUUCAGUGAAUCAUCGAAUCUUUGAACGCACAUUGCGCCCUUUGGUAUUCCGAAGGGCAUGCCUGUUCGAGCGUCAUUACAACCCUCAAGCUCUGCUUGGUAUUGGGCACCGUCCUUUGCGGGCGCGCCUCAAAGACCUCGGCGGUGGCGUCUUGCCUCAAGCGUAGUAGAACAUACAUCUCGCUUCGGAGCGCAGGGCGUCGCCCGCCGGACGAACCUUCUGAACUUUUCUCAAGGUUGACCUCGGAUCAGGUAGGGAUACCCGCUGAACUUAAGCAUAUCAUAAGUCGGAGGAAC
RNAcentral lists this ribosomal RNA (558 nucleotides) under Botryosphaeria dothidea. RNAcentral describes it as "eukaryotic LSU rRNA". The stretch from base 184 to 337 matches the Rfam family "5.8S ribosomal RNA". The record is from RNAcentral. Lineage: Eukaryota; Fungi; Ascomycota; Dothideomycetes; Botryosphaeriales; Botryosphaeriaceae.